This 497-nucleotide ribosomal RNA is filed under the name uncultured bacterium. RNAcentral describes it as "partial 16S ribosomal RNA". It matches the Rfam family "Bacterial small subunit ribosomal RNA", at positions 28 to 507 of the family's 1533-position model. The record is from RNAcentral.
GAUGAACGCUGGCGGCGUGCCUAAUACAUGCAAGUCGAGCGAACAGACGAAGAGCUUGCUCCUUCGACGUUAGCGGCGGACGGGUGAGUAACACGUAGGUAACCUACCUAUAAGACUGGGAUAACUUCGGGAAACCGGAGCUAAUACCGGAUAAUAUUUCGAACCGCAUGGUUCGAUAGUGAAAGAUGGCUUUGCUAUCACUUAUAGAUGGACCUGCGCCGUAUUAGCUAGUUGGUAAGGUAACGGCUUACCAAGGCAACGAUACGUAGCCGACCUGAGAGGGUGAUCGGCCACACUGGAACUGAGACACGGUCCAGACUCCUACGGGAGGCAGCAGUAGGGAAUCUUCCGCAAUGGGCUAAAUCCUGACGGAGCAACGCCGCGUGAGUGAUGAAGGUCUUCGGAUCGUAAAGCUCUGUUAUUAGGGAAGAACAAACGUGUAAGUAACUGUGCACGUCUUGACGGUACCUAAUCAGAAAGCCACGGCUAACUACGUG